GCCUAGGGUCGGAUUAGCUAGUUGGUGAGGUAAAGGCUCACCAAGGCGACGAUCCGUAACUGGUCUGAGAGGAUGAUCAGUCACACUGGAACUGAGACACGGUCCAGACUCCUACGGGAGGCAGCAGUGGGGAAUAUUGGACAAUGGGCGAAAGCCUGAUCCAGCCAUGCCGCGUGUGUGAAGAAGGUCUUCGGAUUGUAAAGCACUUUAAGUUGGGAGGAAGGGCAGUAAGUUAAUACCUUGCUGUUUUGACGUUACCAACAGAAUAAGCACCGGCUAACUUCGUGCCAGCAGCCGCGGUAAUACGAAGGGUGCAAGCGUUAAUCGGAAUUACUGGGCGUAAAGCGCGCGUAGGUGGUUCGUUAAGUUGGAUGUGAAAGCCCCGGGCUCAACCUGGGAACUGCAUCCAAAACUGGCGAGCUAGAGUAUGGCAGAGGGUGGUGGAAUUUCCUGUGUAGCGGUGAAAUGCGUAGAUAUAGGAAGGAACACCAGUGGCGA
This 498-nucleotide ribosomal RNA is filed under the name Pseudomonas putida. RNAcentral describes it as "bacterial SSU rRNA". It matches the Rfam family "Bacterial small subunit ribosomal RNA", at positions 228 to 718 of the family's 1533-position model. The record is from RNAcentral. Lineage: Bacteria; Pseudomonadati; Pseudomonadota; Gammaproteobacteria; Pseudomonadales; Pseudomonadaceae.